CGGAGGAACAUCGACGCUAGAUGGAAAAUGACUCUAUAGAAGCUGCAGGUAAACCGAGAAAACCAGACAAUUUCCAUAGAAAGUGGCUUGCUGAUGGACCAAAUUAAACUGAUAAUAGACCACAUUUUGCAAUUCGUGUUCAGCAUUUCCCAUUUAGCUGCAAAUUUUAUGAUGAUGAUCUGAGCCAUUGCUUUUGUUGGAUGGAAAAGCUUAAUUCUUCUUCUGCUUGCCAACUUGGUAUGGAUGAUGCCUUCGAGGAAAAGAAUGAUGCUGUUCAUGAGUCCAUUUUUUGCAAUAUUUAUGUACUUUUUAUUGAUAUCCGCCUAUAUUUAUUCUCUGGACUUAAGCGGACAGGAAUUGCCUUCUACUGUGGGGCACAUAGACUUCAGAUCAGGUAUUAAUAGGCCAAACGACCUGAAAUGGAUAGAGUUGCUGGCCAAAUCCAUGAUAGGAGUUUUAAUCUUUACGACCAUGAGGCGCCUUUUGCAAGAAAAAGCGCUGGCAAAUCAACAAGCAGUGGAAAAUGUCGCUGGAAGCAGCUCAUUAACA
Molecule: long non-coding RNA, 549 nt
Organism: Dendroctonus ponderosae (mountain pine beetle)
Lineage: Eukaryota; Metazoa; Arthropoda; Insecta; Coleoptera; Curculionidae
Exons: 4
Source: RefSeq, a predicted model, not a curated record